GGGGUUGUGGCUCAACAGUAGAGCGCUCGUCUCCUACAUGAGAGACCCUGGGUUCAAUCCCCAGCACCA
RNAcentral lists this transfer RNA (69 nucleotides) under Ictidomys tridecemlineatus (thirteen-lined ground squirrel). RNAcentral's name for it is "Spermophilus tridecemlineatus (thirteen-lined ground squirrel) tRNA". It matches the Rfam family "tRNA". From Rfam's summary of the family: Transfer RNA (tRNA) molecules are approximately 80 nucleotides in length. Lineage: Eukaryota; Metazoa; Chordata; Mammalia; Rodentia; Sciuridae. The record is from Rfam by way of RNAcentral.